GACGAACGCUGGCGGCGUGCUUAACACAUGCAAGUCGUACGGUAAGGCCCUUUCGGGGGUACACGAGUGGCGAACGGGUGAGUAACACGUGAGUAACCUGCCCACAACUUUGGGAUAACGCUAGGAAACUGGUGCUAAUACUGGAUAUGUGCUCCUGCUGCAUGGUGGGGGUUGGAAAGCUCCGGCGGUUGUGGAUGGACUCGCGGCCUAUCAGCUUGUUGGUGGGGUAGUGGCCUACCAAGGCGGCGACGGGUAGCCGGCCUGAGAGGGUGACCGGCCACAUUGGGACUGAGAUACGGGCCAGACUCCUACGGGAGGCAGCAGUGGGGAAUAUUGCACAAUGGGCGCAAGCCUGAUGCAGCAACGCCGCGUGCGGGAUGACGGCCUUCGGGUUGUAAACCGCUUUCAGCAGGGACGAAGCUUUUUGUGACGGUACCUGCAGAAGAAGCACCGGCUAACUACGUG
This 465-nucleotide ribosomal RNA is filed under the name uncultured bacterium. RNAcentral's name for it is "partial 16S ribosomal RNA". It matches the Rfam family "Bacterial small subunit ribosomal RNA", at positions 28 to 507 of the family's 1533-position model. The record is from RNAcentral.